GAGUUUGAUCCUGGCUCAGAUUGAACGCUGGCGGCAUGCCUUACACAUGCAAGUCGAACGGCAGCACGGGAGCUUGCUCCUGGUGGGCGAGUGGCGAACGGGUGAGUAAUGCAUCGGAACGUAUCCUGGGAGUGGGGGAUAACGUAGCGAAAGUUACGCUAAUACCGCAUAUUCUGUGAGCAAGGAAAGCGGGGGACCUUCGGGCCUCGCGCUCUUGGAGCGGCCGAUGUCGGAUUAGCUAGUUGGUGAGGUAAAGG
This 257-nucleotide ribosomal RNA is filed under the name bacterium enrichment culture clone ALO1_GLFRUDD03GJ2I1. Its description in RNAcentral is "partial 16S ribosomal RNA". It matches the Rfam family "Bacterial small subunit ribosomal RNA", at positions 9 to 263 of the family's 1533-position model. The record is from RNAcentral.